Molecule: transfer-messenger RNA, 363 nt
Filed under: Salmonella enterica
Lineage: Bacteria; Pseudomonadati; Pseudomonadota; Gammaproteobacteria; Enterobacterales; Enterobacteriaceae
Also listed under: 1 other name
Description: Standard tmRNA
Rfam family: transfer-messenger RNA
About the family: Bacterial tmRNA, also known as 10Sa RNA or SsrA, is named for its dual tRNA and mRNA-like properties. Its role is to liberate the mRNA from a stalled ribosome.
Source: RNAcentral
GGGGCUGAUUCUGGAUUCGACGGGAUUUGCGAAACCCAAGGUGCAUGCCGAGGGGCGGUUAGCCUCGUAAAAAGCCGCAAAAAAAUAGUCGCAAACGACGAAAACUACGCUUUAGCAGCUUAAUAACCUGCUUAGAGCCCUCUCUCCCUAGCCUCCGCUCUUAGGACGGGGAUCAAGAGAGGUCAAACCCAAAAGAGAUCGCGCGGAUGCCCUGCCUGGGGUUGAAGCGUUAAAACGAAUCAGGCUAGUCUGGUAGUGGCGUGUCCGUCCGCAGGUGCCAGGCGAAUGUAAAGACAGACUAAGCAUGUAGUACCGAGGAUGUAGGAAUUUCGGACGCGGGUUCAACUCCCGCCAGCUCCACCA